GCAGUCGUGGCCGAGUGUUUAAGGCGAUGGACUUGAAAUCCAUUGGGAUCUUCCCGCGCAGGUUCGAAUCCUGCCGUCUGCG
RNAcentral lists this transfer RNA (82 nucleotides) under Ixodes scapularis (black-legged tick). Its description in RNAcentral is "tRNA-Ser". It matches the Rfam family "tRNA". Rfam says of the family: Transfer RNA (tRNA) molecules are approximately 80 nucleotides in length. The record is from RNAcentral. Lineage: Eukaryota; Metazoa; Arthropoda; Arachnida; Ixodida; Ixodidae.